Molecule: small RNA, 28 nt
Filed under: Bombyx mori (domestic silkworm)
Lineage: Eukaryota; Metazoa; Arthropoda; Insecta; Lepidoptera; Bombycidae
Description: ovarian small RNA-12441
Source: RNAcentral
AUCCAAAGCGUGGUGUUAGCUCCCGAUC